This 497-nucleotide ribosomal RNA is filed under the name uncultured bacterium. RNAcentral's name for it is "partial 16S ribosomal RNA". It matches the Rfam family "Bacterial small subunit ribosomal RNA", at positions 28 to 507 of the family's 1533-position model. The record is from RNAcentral.
GAUGAACGCUGGCGGCGUGCCUAAUACAUGCAAGUCGAGCGAACGGACGAGAAGCUUGCUUCUCUGAUGUUAGCGGCGGACGGGUGAGUAACACGUGGAUAACCUACCUAUAAGACUGGGAUAACUUCGGGAAACCGGAGCUAAUACCGGAUAAUAUUUUGAACCGCAUGGUUCAAAAGUGAAAGACGGUCUUGCUGUCACUUAUAGAUGGAUCCGCGCUGCAUUAGCUAGUUGGUAAGGUAACGGCUUACCAAGGCAACGAUGCAUAGCCGACCUGAGAGGGUGAUCGGCCACACUGGAACUGAGACACGGUCCAGACUCCUACGGGAGGCAGCAGUAGGGAAUCUUCCGCAAUGGGCGAAAGCCUGACGGAGCAACGCCGCGUGAGUGAUGAAGGUCUUCGGUUCGUAAAACUCUGUUAUUAGGGAAGAACAUAUGAGUAAGUAACUGUGCACAUCUUGACGGUACCUAAUCAGAAAGCCACGGCUAACUACGUG